Molecule: non-coding RNA, 73 nt
Organism: Phrynosoma platyrhinos (Desert horned lizard)
Lineage: Eukaryota; Metazoa; Chordata; Lepidosauria; Squamata; Phrynosomatidae
Source: the annotation of a GenBank genome assembly
GACCAAGUGUGGUGCAGUGUUUGAGUACUGGAUUGUGACUCUGGAGACCAGGGUUCGAAUCCCUGCUUGGCUA